Non-coding RNA from Acanthosepion pharaonis, 112 nucleotides. Lineage: Eukaryota; Metazoa; Mollusca; Cephalopoda; Sepiida; Sepiidae. The record is from the annotation of a GenBank genome assembly.
AUGACCACAUCACAUUGAAACGCCAGUUCCUGUACGAUCACCAAAGUUAAGCAGUGUUGAGUGUGAUUAGUACCAAGAUGGGUGACCAUUUUGGAAUACCAUAUGCUGUAAU